CCUACGGAUGGCUGCAGUGGGGAAUAUUGGACAAUGGGGGCAACCCUGAUCCAGCCAUGCCGCGUGUGUGAAGAAGGCCCUCGGGUUGUAAAGCACUUUCAGUGAGGAAGAACGCCUGGUGGUUAAUACCCAUCAGGAAAGACAUCACUCACAGAAGAAGCACCGGCUAACUCCGUGCCAGCAGCCGCGGUAAUACGGAGGGUGCGAGCGUUAAUCGGAAUUACUGGGCGUAAAGCGCGCGUAGGUGGCUUGAUAAGCCGGUUGUGAAAGCCCCGGGCUCAACCUGGGAACGGCAUCCGGAACUGUCAAGCUAGAGUGCAGGAGAGGAAGGUAGAAUUCCCGGUGUAGCGGUGAAAUGCGUAGAGAUCGGGAGGAAUACCAGUGGCGAAGGCGGCCUUCUGGACUGACACUGACACUGAGGUGCGAAAGCGUGGGUAGCAAACAGGAUUAGAUACCCGGGUAGUC
Molecule: ribosomal RNA, 465 nt
Filed under: Vreelandella stevensii
Lineage: Bacteria; Pseudomonadati; Pseudomonadota; Gammaproteobacteria; Oceanospirillales; Halomonadaceae
Description: partial 16S ribosomal RNA
Rfam family: Bacterial small subunit ribosomal RNA
Source: RNAcentral